Molecule: ribosomal RNA, 2020 nt
Filed under: human gut metagenome
Description: bacterial LSU rRNA
Rfam family: Bacterial large subunit ribosomal RNA
Source: RNAcentral
ACUUUCGGGGUACGGAGCGCAUUUAGGACUUAAGUUGUUAACCGAACGGCAUGGGAAGGCCGGUCAGAGAGUGUGAGAACCACGUAGGUGAAAACGACAAGAGCCGAGCGAAUUCCAGAGUACGGCCAGACACGUGAAACCUGGUCGGAAUACGGGGGGACCACCCUCCAACCCUAAAUACUACCCAGUGACCGAUAGCGUAUAGUACUGUGAAGGAAAGGUGAAAAGCACCCCGGGAGGGGAGUGAAAAAGAACCUGAAACCCUGUGCCUACAAGCACAUAGAGCACGUCAAAGCGUGAUAGGGUACUUUUUGUAGAACGGUCCGGCGAGCGAUUGUAUGCAGCAAGGUUAAGGACUUAAGGUCUGGAGCCGAAGCGAAAGCGAGUUUGAAAAGGGCGUUAAGUUGCAUAUAAUGGGCCCGAAACCGGGUGACCUACCCAUGGUCAGGUUGAAGUGGAAGUAAAAUUCCAUGGAGGACCGAACCGACCUCCGUUGAAAAGGCGGCGGAUGAACUGUGGGUAGCGGAGAAAUUCCAAUCGAACCCGGAGAUAGCUGGUUCUCCCCGAAAUAGUUUUAGGACUAGCCUCAAGUUAGAUACCUGGAGGUAAAGCACUGAAUAGCCUAGCGGCCGAGAGGUUAGCGAAGCUUAUCAAACUCAGAAUGCCAGAGUAUUGAUGCUUGGGAGUCAGACAGUGUCAGAUAAAUGUCAUUGUCAAAAGGGAAACAGCCCAGAUCUACAGCUAAGGUCCCAAAGUCAGGUUAAGUGGAAAACGAUGUGAAGAUACGCAGACAACCAGGAUGUUGGCUCAGAAGCAGCCACUCAUUCAAAGAGUGCGUAAUAGCUCACUGGUCGAGCGUCUUUGCGCGGAGAAUUUAACGGGGCUAAACCUGACACCGAAGCUUAGGCAGCAUGUUUACAUGCUGGGUAGGGGAGCGUUGUAUACGCGGUGAAACAGUAGCGCAAGCGGCUGUGGAGUGUAUAGAAGUGAGAAUGCCGGAAUGAGUAGCGCGAAUGCAGUGAGAAUCUGCAUGGCCGAAAGCCUCAGGUUUCUGGAGGAAGGUUCGUCCGCUCCAGGUCAGUCGGGAGCUAAGGUGAGGCCUAACGGCGUAGCCGAUGCACAGACGGUAGAGAUUCCGUCACCACCAAAAGAGUUAAACACAGGGACACAUAUGAAGUCUCGGAGCCGGGUGUUGGUUCCGGUAGCGAUCGAGGGAAGUUAGUACCGAAGUCCGGGAUGGAAGAUGGCGAGAAAAGCUGUGUGUAUUUCUGCGGUGCCCGUACCGCAAACCGACACAGGUAGGUAGGAAGAAGAUUCUAAGGCCAACGGGAGAAGGGUUGUUAAGGAACUCGGCAAAUUGACCCCGUAACUUCGGGAGAAGGGGUGCUGCAGCAAUGCAGCCGCAGAGAAUCGGCCCAAGCAACUGUUUACCAAAAACACAGGUUUGUGCUAAAUCGAAAGAUGACGUAUACGAGCUGACGCCUGCCCGGUGCUGGAAGGUUAAGAGGAGAUGUGCAAGCAUUGAAUCGAAGCCCCAGUGAACGGCGGCCGUAACUAUAACGGUCCUAAGGUAGCGAAAUUCCUUGUCAGGUAAGUUCUGACCCGCAUGAAAGGCGUAAUGAUUUGGGCACUGUCUCAACAGCCCGCCCGGCGAAAUUGUAGUACCGGUGAAGAUGCCGGUUACCCGCGACAAGACGGAAAGACCCCAUGGAGCUUUACUGUAGCCUAAUAUUGGGUUUCGAUGUUGCAUGCACAGGAUAGAUGGGACACUGGGAAGCAGGUGCUUUGGCGCUUGUGGAGUGGCCGUUGGGAUACCAUCCUUGCGAUAUUGGAAUUCUAACCUGCGCCUUUGAAUCAAGGCGGGGGACAUUGUUAGGUGGGCAGUUUGACUGGGGCGGUCGCCUCCUAAAGAGUAACGGAGGCGUUCAAAGGUUCGCUCAGCUUGAACGGAAAUCAAGCAAAAGAGUGCAAACGCAGAAGCGAGCCUAACUGCGAGACUGACGGGUCGAGCAGUAACGAA